This 207-nucleotide ribosomal RNA is filed under the name uncultured bacterium. Its description in RNAcentral is "partial 16S ribosomal RNA". It matches the Rfam family "Bacterial small subunit ribosomal RNA", at positions 568 to 774 of the family's 1533-position model. The record is from RNAcentral.
UGCGUAGGCGGUUUAGUAAGUCAGAUGUGAAAGCCCUGGGCUUAACCUGGGAACUGCAUUUGAAACUGCUGAACUAGAGUGUGGUAGAGGGAAGUGGAAUUCCGGGUGUAGCGGUGAAAUGCGUAGAUAUCCGGAGGAACACCAGUGGCGAAGGCGACUUCCUGGACCAACACUGACGCUGAGGUACGAAAGCGUGGGUAGCAAACA